RNAcentral lists this ribosomal RNA (450 nucleotides) under uncultured prokaryote. RNAcentral's name for it is "bacterial SSU rRNA". It matches the Rfam family "Bacterial small subunit ribosomal RNA", at positions 355 to 796 of the family's 1533-position model. The record is from RNAcentral.
UGGGGAAUUUUGCGCAAUGGUCGAAAGACUGACGCAGCGACGCCGCGUGUGGGAGGAAGCCUUUCGAGGUGUAAACCACUGUCAGGGGGGAAGAACUCCCAUCCUUCGAAUAGUUGGGUGGGUUGACGGUACCCCCAGAGGAAGCGCCGGCUAACUCCGUGCCAGCAGCCGCGGUAAGACGGAGGGCGCAAGCGUUGUUCGGAAUUACUGGGCGUAAAGCGCGGGCAGGUGGUCUGUUUAGUCUUCUGUGAAGCUCCGGGGCUCAACUCCGGACAUGCAGAAGAUACUGGCAGACUGGAGUAUGGUAGAGGCAAGCGGAAUUCCUGGUGUAGCGGUGGAAUGCGUAGAUAUCAGGAAGAACACCUGUGGCGAAGGCGGCUUGCUGGGCCAUUACUGACCCUCAUCCGCGAAAGCGUGGGGAGCAAACAGGAUUAGAUACCCCCGUAGUCC